Molecule: ribosomal RNA, 462 nt
Filed under: uncultured bacterium
Lineage: Bacteria
Description: partial 16S ribosomal RNA
Rfam family: Bacterial small subunit ribosomal RNA
Source: RNAcentral
GACGAACGCUGGCGGCGUGCUUAACACAUGCAAGUCGAACGGAAAGGCCCUUCGGGGUACUCGAGUGGCGAACGGGUGAGUAACACGUGGGUGAUCUGCCCUGCACUUUGGGAUAAGCCUGGGAAACUGGGUCUAAUACCGAAUAGGACCACGCGCUUCAUGGUGUGUGGUGGAAAGCUUUUGCGGGGUGGGAUGGGCCCGCGGCCUAUCAGCUUGUUGGUGGGGUAAUGGCCUACCAAGGCGACGACGGGUAGCCGGCCUGAGAGGGUGACCGGCCACACUGGGACUGAGAUACGGCCCAGACUCGUACGGGAGGCAGCAGUGGGGAAUAUUGCACAAUGGGCGCAAGCCUGAUGCAGCGACGCCGCGUGAGGGAUGACGGCCUUCGGGUUGUAAACCUCUUUCACCAGGGACGAAGCGUAAGUGACGGUACCUGGAGAAGAAGCACCGGCCAACUACGUG